AAAUAAGCUAUGAAGGGCUAAUGGUGGAUGCCUAGACUAUAAGAGGCGAUGAAGGACGUACUAGACUGCGAUAAGCCUCGGGGAGCUGUCAAGAAGCUUUGAUCCGGGGAUUUCCGAAUGGGACAACCCAAUGUGUUAUGCACAUUACACCUACGGGUGAGCGAACCUUGUGAAGUGAAACAUCUCAGUAGCAAGAGGAAAAGAAAUCAAUAGAGAUUCCCAAAGUAGCGGCGAGCGAAAUGGGAUUAGGGCGCUAAGUGAUAGCUAAUUUGUUAGGUGAAGUUUUUGGAAUGAAACGUCAUAGAGAGUGAAAGCCUCGUAACUUAAAACAUUUUAGUGGUACUAGACUUAGGAACGAGUAGGUCGGGACACGUGAUAUCUUGACUGAAAAUGGGAGGACCAUCUUCCAACCCUAAAUACUACUUAUAGAUCGAUAGUGCACAAGUACCGUGAGGGAAAGGUGAAAAGUACCCCAGUGAGGGGAGUGAAAUAGAACCUGAAACCAUUAGCUUACAAUCAUUCGGAGCCCUAUGUUUUAUACAGGGUGACGGACUGCCUUUUGCAUAAUGAGCCUGCGAGUUGUGGUAUAUGGCAAGGUUAAAUCAAGUAUGAAGCCGUAGCGAAAGCGAGUCUGAAUAGGGCGAAUUAGUCAUAUGCUGCAGACCCGAAACAAAGUGAUCUAUCCAUGAGCAGGUUGAAGCUGGUGUAAGAGCCAGUGGAGGACCGAACCCGCUGACGUUGAAAAGUCAUGGGAUGACUUGUGGAUAGGGGU
RNAcentral lists this ribosomal RNA (772 nucleotides) under Campylobacterales bacterium. Its description in RNAcentral is "partial 23S ribosomal RNA". It matches the Rfam family "Bacterial large subunit ribosomal RNA", at positions 1 to 822 of the family's 2925-position model. Lineage: Bacteria; Pseudomonadati; Campylobacterota; Epsilonproteobacteria; Campylobacterales. The record is from RNAcentral.